RNAcentral lists this transfer RNA (83 nucleotides) under Cronartium quercuum f. sp. fusiforme G11. It matches the Rfam family "tRNA". From Rfam's summary of the family: Transfer RNA (tRNA) molecules are approximately 80 nucleotides in length. Their secondary structure includes four short double-helical elements and three loops (D, anti-codon, and T loops). Lineage: Eukaryota; Fungi; Basidiomycota; Pucciniomycetes; Pucciniales; Coleosporiaceae. The record is from Rfam by way of RNAcentral.
GGGGUUCUAGCUCAUCGGUAGAGCGCUCGCUUAGCAUUCCUUGGGGUUGCGAGAGGCGCUGGGUUCGAUUCCCAGGUACUCCA